This 440-nucleotide ribosomal RNA is filed under the name uncultured bacterium. Its description in RNAcentral is "partial 16S ribosomal RNA". It matches the Rfam family "Bacterial small subunit ribosomal RNA", at positions 338 to 795 of the family's 1533-position model. The record is from RNAcentral.
CCUACGGGGUGCUGCAGUGGGGAAUAUUGCACAAUGGAGGGAACUCUGAUGCAGCGACGCCGCGUGAGUGAAGAAGUAAUUCGUUAUGUAAAGCUCUAUCAGCAGGGAAGAAAGUGACGGUACCUGAAAAAGAAGCCCCGGCUAACUACGUGCCAGCAGCCGCGGUAAUACGUAGGGGGCAAGCGUUAUCCUGAUUUACUGGGUGUAAAGGGAGCGCAGACGGCUGUGCAAGUCUGGAGUGAAAGGCGGGGGCCCAACCCCCGGACUGCUCUGGAAACUGGAAAGCUGGAGUGCAGGAGAGGUAAGCGGAAUUCCUAGUGUAGCGGUGAAAUGCGUAGAUAUUAGGAGGAACACCAGUGGCGAAGGCGGCUUACUGGACUGCAACUGACGUUGAGGCUCGAAAGCGUGGGGAGCAAACAGGAUUAGAUACCCCAGUAGUC